This 978-nucleotide unclassified non-coding RNA is filed under the name Hevea brasiliensis (rubber tree). Lineage: Eukaryota; Viridiplantae; Streptophyta; Magnoliopsida; Malpighiales; Euphorbiaceae. The record is from RNAcentral.
GCUGUUGCUUAUGGUGCUGCUGUUCAAGGAGGAAUUCUAAGCGGAGAGGGUGGUGACGAAACCAAAGAUAUACUUCUCCUGGACGUUGCUCCACUCACUCUUGGCAUUGAAACUGUUGGUGGAGUGAUGACCAAGUUGAUUCCUAGAAACACUGUUAUUCCAACUAAGAAGUCUCAAGUUUUCACCACCUACCAAGAUCAACAAACAACUGUCACUAUUCAGGUCUUCGAGGGUGAAAGGAGUCUCACAAAGGACUGCAGGCUGCUUGGGAAAUUUGAUUUAACCGGAAUUGCCCCAGCUCCAAGAGGAACUCCACAGAUUGAGGUGACGUUCGAGGUUGAUGCCAAUGGUAUCCUAAAUGUUAAGGCUGAGGACAAGGCCUCAGGGAAAUCUGAGAAAAUCACCAUUACAAAUGACAAGGGUAGGCUGAGUCAGGAGGAGAUUGACAGGAUGGUCCGGGAGGCUGAGGAGUUUGCAGAGGAAGACAAGAAAGUCAAGGAGAAGAUUGAUGCCCGUAACAGCUUAGAGACAUAUGUUUACAACAUGAAGAACCAGAUCAACGAUAAGGACAAGUUGGCUGACAAAUUAGAAUCUGAUGAGAAGGAAAAGAUUGAGACAGCAGUUAAUGAAGCCCUUGAGUGGCUAGACGACAAUCAGAAGGCUGAGAAGGAGGACUAUGAGGAGAAGCUGAAGGAGGUAGAGGCUGUAUGCAACCCCAUCAUAACUGCUGUUUAUCAGAGGUCUGGUGGAGCCCCAGGAGGCCCUUCAGGUGGAGAAGAUGAUGAUGAUGAUUCACAUGAUGAGCUUUAAAUUGUUUAGCUUAAUUUCUUGACCAUAGCAUAGGAAGAAAAACGUGGAAACACCAUUAAGGGGAGUGAUUUUCCUUUCGUUCAGUUUUGAAAUUGAAUUAUUGGAGAUGUAUAGUAUGCCAUGUUACAACUGAAAGAAAAUUUAUAUUCUUUCUUCUGAUUUUGGAAC